CAAAGAGCUGUCAAAGGAUACAGGAAGAAAAUUGUAGACCUGCACCAGGCUGGGAAAAGUGAAUCUACAAUAGACAAGCAGGAUCUCAUCCCGUGGGGUCAAAAUCAUCAUGAGAACGGUGAGCAAAAAUCCCGGAACGACACGGAGGGACCUGAUGAAUGACCUGCAGAGAGCUGGGACCAACGUAACAAAGGCCACCAUCAGUAACACAGUACGCCGAGAGGGACUCAAAUCCUGAGUGCCAGGUGUGUCCCCCUGCUUAAGCCAGUACAUGUCCAGGCCCGUCUGAGGUCUGCCAGAGAGCAUGUGGAUGAUAGAGAAGAGAAUUGGGAGAAUAUCAUGUGCUCAGAUGAAAGCAAAAUAGAACUUUUUGGCACAAACUCGACUCGGAGGAAGAAGAAUGCUGAAUUGCAUCCUAAGAACACCAUACCUACUGUGAAGCAGGGGGUGGAAACAUCAUGCUUUGGGGUUGUUUUUCUGCACAGGGGAAAGGAUGACUGAUCCGUGUUAAGGGAUGAAUGAACGGUACCGUGUAUUGUGAGAGUUUAAGCCAGAACCUCCUUCCAUCAGUGAGAGCAUUGAAGAAGGAACAUGGCUGGAUCUUCCAGCAUCACAAUGAACCCAAACACUCCGCUGGGGCAACGAAGGAGUGGCUCUGUAAAAAGCAUUUCAAGGUCCUGGAAUGGCCUAGCCAGUCUCCAGACCUCAGCCCCAUAGAACAUUUGUGGAGGGAGUUGAAAGUCUGUGUUCCCCAGUGAAGUCCCAAAACAUCACUGCUCUAGAGGAGAUCUGCAUGGAAGAAUGGGCCAAAAUACCAGCUACAGUGUGUCCAAACCGGGUGAAGACUUACAGUAAAUGUUUGACCUCUGUCUUUGGCAACAAAGGUUAUGCUACAAAGUAUUGAGAUGAACUUUUGUUAUUGACCAAAUACUUAUUUUCCACCAUUUGUUUUUCUCAUAGUUGUAGUGAACCUAUGAUGAAAAUUACAGACCUCUCAUCUUUCUAAGUAGGAGAACUUGCACAAUCAGAGGCUGACUAAUUACUUUGUUGCCCCACUGUAUUGGUAGAUUCUGAAAAUGCAUUAAUAAAUCAUAGAAAUAAACACUGGGAAAUAAAAAAGGCAAAACAAAACAACUUUAUAUUUCUAAAGUUGUUCAUAGAAAAAUAAUAACACAAAACACAUUUCUUUUCCUGUAUUUAACCAGAUUAUAACCAACCAAAAACAGAAUAAACCUACUUAAUGUACAAGUGAGGGAAUAAAUGUGUGGAUAAAAAGAUGUCUGUACUGUAUUAUUGUAUUAUUUGCACUUUGAGAGACAUGUAUGAGUAAAGAUAAAGAGCCCCUGGAUAAU
Girardinichthys multiradiatus is the source of this 1352-nucleotide long non-coding RNA. RefSeq lists it as uncharacterized. The record is from RefSeq and is a predicted model, not a curated record. NCBI's taxonomy places the organism in Eukaryota, Metazoa, Chordata, Actinopteri, Cyprinodontiformes, Goodeidae. The transcript has 2 exons.